CCCUUAGAUGUCCUGGGCCGCACGCGCGUUACACUGAUGCAUUCAACGAGCUUAUAACCUUGGCCGAAAGGUCUGGGUAAUCUCCAAAUUUCGUCGUGAUGGGGAUAGAUUAUUGCAAUUAUUAAUCUUCAACGAGGAAUGCCUAGUAAGCGCAAGUCAUCAGCUUGCGUUGAUUACGUCCCUGCCCUUUGUACACACCGCCCGUCGCUCCUACCGAUUGAAUGGUCCGGUGAAGCGCUCGGACCGCGGCCUCUUGACGGUUCGCUGUCGAUUGGCUGUGGGAAGUUCGUUAAACCUUAUCAUUUAGAGGAAGGAGAAGUCGUAACA
This 327-nucleotide ribosomal RNA is filed under the name uncultured eukaryote. RNAcentral describes it as "partial 18S ribosomal RNA". It matches the Rfam family "Eukaryotic small subunit ribosomal RNA", at positions 1470 to 1796 of the family's 1831-position model. The record is from RNAcentral.